CUCAAUUGCUUUAGACAACCUAUUCUACUGCCUUUCAUGGAAGCCAACUCACAAGUUAGCAAUCAUUUCUUCUUCUUCUUCGUUCGCCUCAGCAACUAUGAGUGGGACCACUUGUUCAGACGUCCCACUCUGAUCUGAUUCGUCUAUCUCAGGUGCCUUGUCGGGAAUGACUAAGGAUAUUGGAACUUGUGGGCGAGCAAUUAGACAAGAAGUGUUUUGCACUUUAGCCGUCCUUGGGGCAAAAAUCGAUGUUGGAUGGGAUGAUGAAGUUGGAGCUUGACAUAGAGUUCCUUCCUAACACUUUUUUUCACGCACUUCCAUAUGAGUUUGUCGUGCCUUAGCGUCCACGAGUUGAGCGACUUCAUAGAACGAUAAGUCUUUCAAAACAAAGUGUUCAACAG
This 401-nucleotide long non-coding RNA is filed under the name Vitis vinifera (wine grape). RNAcentral describes it as "long non-coding RNA (VVIN_LNC005389)". Lineage: Eukaryota; Viridiplantae; Streptophyta; Magnoliopsida; Vitales; Vitaceae. The record is from RNAcentral.